CACGUAGGGCGCAAGCGUUGUCCGGAAUUAUUGGGCGUAAAGAGCUCGUAGGUGGUUUGUUACGUCUGCCGUGAAAACCUAGGGCUUAACCCUGGGCUUGCAGUGGAUACGGGCAGACUAGAGGUAGGUAGGGGAGAAUGGAAUUCCUGGUGUAGCGGUGAAAUGCGCAGAUAUCAGGAGGAACACCGGUGGCGAAGGCGGUUCUCUGGGCCUUACCUGACACUGAGGAGCGAAAGCGUGGGGAGCGAACAGG
RNAcentral lists this ribosomal RNA (253 nucleotides) under uncultured bacterium. RNAcentral's name for it is "partial 16S ribosomal RNA". It matches the Rfam family "Bacterial small subunit ribosomal RNA", at positions 524 to 776 of the family's 1533-position model. The record is from RNAcentral.